AACGGGUGAGUAACACGUGAGCAACCUGCCCCACAGAUCGGGAUAGCCCAGGGAAACCUGGAUUAAUACCGAAUAUCCUCGAGUAACCACAUGAUUGUUCGAGGAAAUGCCUUUGUGCUGUGGGAUGGGCUCGCGGCUUAUCAGCUAGUUGGUGGGGUAACGGCCUACCAAGGCAUCGACGAGUAGCUGGUCUGAGAGGACGAUCAGCCACACUGGGACUGAGACACGGCCCAGACUCCUACGGGAGGCAGCAGCAGGGAAUCUUGCGCAAUGGGCGAAAGCCUGACGCAGCAACGCCGCGUGGGUGAUGAAGGCCUUCGGGUUGUAAACCCCUUUCAGGAGGGAAGAAAUUGACGGUACCUCCAAAAGAAGCCCCGGCCAACUACGUGCCAGCAGCCGCGGUAAUACGUAGGGGGCGAGCGUUGUCCGGAAUCAUUGGGCGUAAAGAGCUCGUAGGCGGUUCAGCAAGUCGGCUGUGAAAUUCCGAGGCUCAACCUCGGAACUGCAGUCGAUACUGCUGUGACUCGAGUCCGGUAG
This 537-nucleotide ribosomal RNA is filed under the name uncultured bacterium. RNAcentral describes it as "bacterial SSU rRNA". It matches the Rfam family "Bacterial small subunit ribosomal RNA", at positions 101 to 654 of the family's 1533-position model. The record is from RNAcentral.